GGCUCCGUAGCUCAGCCGGAUAGAGCAGUGGUUUCCUAAACCAAAGGUCGCAGGUUCGAGUCCUGCCGGGGCCACCA
This 77-nucleotide transfer RNA is filed under the name Sphingomonas sp. Its description in RNAcentral is "tRNA-Arg". It matches the Rfam family "tRNA". Rfam says of the family: Transfer RNA (tRNA) molecules are approximately 80 nucleotides in length. Their secondary structure includes four short double-helical elements and three loops (D, anti-codon, and T loops). Further hydrogen bonds mediate the characteristic L-shaped molecular structure. tRNAs have two regions of fundamental functional importance: the anti-codon, which is responsible for specific mRNA codon recognition, and the 3' end, to which the tRNAs corresponding amino acid is attached (by aminoacyl-tRNA synthetases). tRNAs cope with the degeneracy of the genetic code in two manners: having more than one tRNA (with a specific anti-codon) for a particular amino acid; and 'wobble' base-pairing, i.e. permitting non-standard base-pairing at the 3rd anti-codon position. Lineage: Bacteria; Pseudomonadati; Pseudomonadota; Alphaproteobacteria; Sphingomonadales; Sphingomonadaceae. RNAcentral also lists the same sequence under 4 other names. The record is from RNAcentral.